GCCUCGGUGGCUCAGCUGGUAGAGCGGCAGCCUCGUAUAUACCGAGAGAAAGCUGCAAGUCGCGGGUUCAAAUCCCGUCCGAGGCU
RNAcentral lists this transfer RNA (86 nucleotides) under bacterium. RNAcentral's name for it is "tRNA-OTHER". It matches the Rfam family "tRNA". From Rfam's summary of the family: Transfer RNA (tRNA) molecules are approximately 80 nucleotides in length. The record is from RNAcentral.